GGGGAUGCGGGUGUUGGCUGGGGCUUGUCCCUCCCCAGGACAGCUCAUGAGCUCUGAACAUGCUGUUCACUUCCACUGGAUGGGAUAGUGAAAGGGCUGGAUGGCCACAGUGCCUGGUGGGGACGGACAGACUGGACGCAGGGACAGUCCAGCCGGCGGCUUGCCCAGCGCCAGCCCUGCAGCUGCACAGCAGCUACAAUGGACUGAGGGGCAUUGAUGGGCACACAGUGGCCCCUGAUAACGCGCUAAUGGCGCUCCACGUUUUUUUCGUCCAGAAGAAUUGUGUAAGUGUGAAGACCAGCGGGGAGAUGGAGGCCACUUGAUGAAGCGCCUCGAGCCACCCCUUAAAGGAACAAGGCGCGUUUCUCCCGAGGCUCCGACAGCUGGCUCCUUCAGCUCCAAGCAGAGUUAUUGAGAUGCAAAUGUGUGUCCUCCGCAGAGCGCAGCUGCUGGCUGGCGCCGGAGCCCUGCGCCCAGGUGCAGCCCCGCGGAGCCAGCGGGGGUGGCGACUCGGACGAGUCUCCCGGGAAGAACGGAACCAUGGACCCUGCGCGGCAGGAAGGCAGGUCCACAGUCUGUCCAGCCCUGAGGAACCAGGCCGAGGCCCCCACCAGCAUGGAGUCCCACAGAGGCAGGAGAGGUGGCCCCGAGGGGCGUGGGUUGUGCAGGUGUCAGCACCAGGAGCUACCAGUGCAGAGGCUCUGGGGCCCGACUCAGCUGGUGAGUGUGUGGGAUGGGGAGGAUGCUGGGGAGCGGGCUGGGUGAUGGGCAGGGACCCCAGGCUCACACUCAGUGAGACGGAGGCCACGGAGGCUUUGGGUGGAGGGAUGCUGCCUGGCUGUCCUCAGCAGGAGGGUGUGGUCUCAGGACAGGUCCCAAGGGUGGGGCCAGUGCUGUUUCUGACAGAUGGAUGGGCCCUGGGGGACCCAAGCCUCUGUAGGGGUGAGGGGCUGCAAGAGGAACACAUCUGAUGGGGUCCUGGUUUGUCAGAGGGCCACAUGCCCACCCAGGCCUAGAGUCACCUAGGAUGUCCCCCUGGGUGAGAGGAUGCUGUCUUGUUCCCAGGAGGGGUGGGACUGCCUGGUUCCUGGGGUGCCUCUGAGCCAAGGGAGCCCGUGAAUGGGCUCAGGGACUCCUGUGUCACUCAGGCCACAGGCUCCAGCCUUGCCCCUGCUGAACCCAAAGCGGUAAGCACUGCCUGUGUGUCUUGUGGUGGAGUGGGUCCCAGGAGCCUUGGGAGGGGACAGUUGGACAGAGGCUCAGAGAGGAGCCCACACCAGGGGGUGCUGAGUCCUGGGGGCCUCCCCUCCCAAGCCCUGGGUGGCAGUGAGCCCAGAACAUGGCAGAAAGGGGACCCACCAUGGAUCCUGGCAGGGAGCCACCUGUGGUUCUGGGGUUGGAGGGCCACCCAAGCCAAGGCGCAGCAUCUCCUCAGGCCUCCUGCCCACCCUGGGCCCCACAGGGGCACCCGUGGUGCUCCCACCAUUGGCAGGGCCCCCAAGACAGCCCCCUGGGAAGGGCUGCCCAGGCACAGCAGCUCCACUCGGCUGCCGUGGGCAGACUUGCUGGCUCCAGGCUCCUCAUGUGAGGCCCCGUUUGUCCUGUGACAGACACAGGGCGCCUGUUUGCCUGUGAGCAGGAACACGGCCUCUCUGUUGGCACCUGGGCCGACCGGCCCCCCAGGCAGGUGUGGGUGCUCCACACAGACCUACACUUGUGCCCACCUCGGGCUGGCCUCCUGGCCUGAACCACCUCGUUCUCGCCGGGACCCUCUGCAGUGCAGCAGGCGCCCCAGACGGCCAGGGGUGGGUGAGAGUCUGUCUCCUUGCAGCUGCUGCCAGGCCGUAGAGGUUCAGGCUGCACCCCAGUUCUUCCUGCAGCAGGCCCAGGAGGGCCACCCAGCAAAACAUUAAUCCAGCUCAACCUGUGGCAACUGGGCUCAGAACCGCUGCCCUGGGGACUCCUGGGCCCCCAUGGUCCAAGCUGGAGGUGAGGGCUCUGCUGUCCCAUCCCCUCUAAUGCACAUCAGGAAGCAGGAGGCUCCAGGUGUGAGACUGGGGGAUGUGGUCACAAAGGAGAGGAGGACGUGCCUUGCUCAGGGCCCAUGGAGGCGGCUGCCCAAGGAGGACAGAGAACUUCUGUCCAUGCUUCUGGUCAUGGGUUCUGAGGAGGGAGGCAGAGAACACUGGCUUUUCCGUCACACAGGCCCCUCCUGGAUGUUGUGGGGCCCCCAGGAGAGCAGAAGAGAGGCAGACAGGGUUUCCUCUUGGCUACACCAGGUACACAAUGGGGCUCAGCCACGGACCUGCCCCAUAGAUGCCCAGGAUCCCAGGUGGGUGCUGGUGGGCACAGCCAUGGAGGGGGGACCACGCGGGCAGGUGGUCCUGGGACAGACCAGGGCUGGGAGCAACAUCAGGACACUGCUGUCUAGGGGGCCUGGUGACAAGGGCAGGCACCUAGGAUGUGGAAGGGCUGGGGGCUUUCUGUGGUUCUCGCUGAUGAACCCAGAGUGAAGGGACUUGGGAACCACGGGGACUGACUGUGGCGAGACAGGAAGCACAGACGCCUUCUUACCGAGUCUGCUUCCCCGGACAUCCUUGUGAAGACCCCACUCAGCAGCGGCCCACGGUCUUGCCAUUUUAUUUCUUGGG
Long non-coding RNA from Camelus dromedarius (Arabian camel), 2651 nucleotides. The record is from Ensembl. Lineage: Eukaryota; Metazoa; Chordata; Mammalia; Artiodactyla; Camelidae.